Molecule: ribosomal RNA, 485 nt
Filed under: uncultured bacterium
Lineage: Bacteria
Description: partial 16S ribosomal RNA
Rfam family: Bacterial small subunit ribosomal RNA
Source: RNAcentral
UUGCACGCUGGCGGCAUGCCUUACACAUGCAAGUCGAACGGCAGCACGGGUGCUUGCACCUGGUGGCGAGUGGCGAACGGGUGAGUAAUACAUCGGAACAUGUCCUGUAGUGGGGGAUAGCCCGGCGAAAGCCGGAUUAAUACCGCAUACGAUCUACGGAUGAAAGCGGGGGACCUUCGGGCCUCGCGCUAUAGGGUUGGCCGAUGGCUGAUUAGCUAGUUGGUGGGGUAAAGGCCUACCAAGGCGACGAUCAGUAGCUGGUCUGAGAGGACGACCAGCCACACUGGGACUGAGACACGGCCCAGACUCCUACGGGAGGCAGCAGUGGGGAAUUUUGGACAAUGGGCGAAAGCCUGAUCCAGCAAUGCCGCGUGUGUGAAGAAGGCCUUCGGGUUGUAAAGCACUUUUGUCCGGAAAGAAAUCCUUGGCUCUAAUACAGUCGGGGGAUGACGGUACCGGAAGAAUAAGCACCGGCUAACUACGUG